UUACCUCAUCUAACUUGAUAGAAUGGUGACACAUCUGUGUCCACCAUCACAUGGGUGGACUUUCCAGGUCUUGAUAUACAUCAAGGUUUGAACUUUGUAGUUUCGGGCAUCGGAUUAGCCUUUCAAGGUGUUGAGUAGUCAGACAACUCAUUGGAGCACUAUCUUAGCUCUUGCUCCUCAAACAUAUCAUUGAGUGCACCCCUGUUAGGACAAUAUCUAGUCCAAUGUGGACUGUCAUAUAGAAAACUAUUACCUUAAGGCUUCCUUAUCAACCUUCUUGCCAUUUGGUGGCUUGCCUCCACCCUUGGGUGUUCAGUGUUAGAAUGGCCAUCUUCCUUGCCAUGAGAGAGGGCUUAAACCCCUUUGCUCCUCUACCUUUGGCAUGAUCACCCUUUGGACCCUUAGAAGACUUUGGCCUUUUAAACUUCACCUUGGUUGAGGGCAGUUAAGAUACGCUUCAUACAACGCCUUUGCAAUUCAGUGGCAGCCCGUGGUUUGAGAUCAUCCAUGAAGUUGAACAGCUGGUCCCCCUUCCCUAUGUUAGGGAUUUGAAGCAUAUGGGAGGAGAAUUCCUUCCUAUAGUUCCUAAUCGAACUUGUUUUUUUGCAACUCCUUCAUUCUCUUUCGUGCCUCAUGGGUGAUAUUCUUAGGAUAGAACCGCUUCUUAAUUUCCCAUUUUAGCUCAUCCUAAGUGUCAAAUUGAGCAAAUACCCUUCUCCAUCUCUGCAUUUUUCCUCUGCCACAGUAUAGUAGCAAUCAGGAAAAGGGUAGCAAUCCUCAUCUUGCACUUUUCAUCGUUAUAGUUGAGUGCCUCAAAGCUCCUCUCAAUAUGCUGCAGCAUCCCUCUUGCCAUCAUACUCCUUAGGCUCAGGAGCUUCAACCCCUGGAUUGAUACCCAUGGUAGGUGCAACAAUAACCCACUAACCACAGUACUCUUGCAUGUGGCCCAAUUGGCUUUGGUCUCUAUGCUCUUCUUCAGCUCAUCAAAUGGAGCUUGAAGGUUGAUCAAGGCUUCUAGUAAUUAGGCUUGGAAUGUGAGAUGUUCUUGAUGUUGAGCUUCCCCCACGUGGUUGAUGACACUAAGCAUGUCCUAGCGGAGUUCCUCGACUUGCCUACCGAAGUUUUCAUCAAGCUCCAUGCCUUGCUUGAACUCAUUAAACCGAUCCCUCAUAUUGGCCAUGACCAGCUCUACCUUCGCGAUCUUUGCCUAUGUAUUUCUCACCUUGUUGUAAGACUUGUCUUGACUUCCCUUUCCCCUUUUUAGACCAUGUUGGUGUUUUCUUCCACCACAUCAUGUUGCACCUUGACAACUUUUGAAGCCAUCAUGCUCCACCUUUUCCCACAACAAGCUAAGUAGGCUUGCCUUUCUCUUGUAUGACUUGUCAUGGGCUUGCUUUUCCUCAAAUACACCAUACGACACAUGGAAGCUUUGCUAGUCUACACCAUGGUAUGCUGUACCAUCCCGAACCGGAUGGUACCGGGCGUACUAGUGUGGCACCGGUACGAGGUCCGAUACCGAGACGGCGAAUCUUGGUCUACACUUGCCUCUUA
This 1551-nucleotide long non-coding RNA is filed under the name Phoenix dactylifera (date palm). RNAcentral's name for it is "long non-coding RNA (PDAC_LNC014403)". Lineage: Eukaryota; Viridiplantae; Streptophyta; Magnoliopsida; Arecales; Arecaceae. The record is from RNAcentral.